Molecule: long non-coding RNA, 1442 nt
Filed under: Mus spicilegus (steppe mouse)
Lineage: Eukaryota; Metazoa; Chordata; Mammalia; Rodentia; Muridae
Description: lncRNA (ENSMSIG00000031284.1)
Source: RNAcentral
CACUAAAAUAAAAUGGCUUUCUUUGUUUUAACUUUGUGUCCUGUCUUCCUCCUACACUUCCAGGUCAGGCCCUUUUAUCCACCCUGGAGUGCAGCUCUCCUCUGUAGAAGUUGUCAAUCAUAGAACACCCUACCAGAACCGAGGUCAGAAAACACCUCUGUGUUGGGAAUCUGAUGGCAUAGGAACCGCCAGGGCACAGGCAAACUUGGGAACUAACUUAGACACAGAGUGCUCAGCCCAGCACCUCUCCUCUGGUCUUUUAUUUUGCCUGAAUGUGAAUGAAAAGACCUGGAUUCUUAGCAGUCAGCAGAGCAUUUGAAGGCCACGUCCCAUCUGCAAAUCACACUUACUGGUAUUUUGAGUGAAAGUCAUCGGGGUCUUCCCUGAGCCACGGUGACAGAUAACAGAUGUCUAAGGAGUGUGUAGACUUAAAGAAAAAUGACUCGGGAUACAAACAAACUCAUGCAGCAAACUGUAUCACGCAACAGCUAUAUUACAGACACUCCCACACAUCACCCAAGCCUCUAACUACUUCUUCCCAAGAGAAGGUCGCCGCAAGUCUCAGCCCUUUCUUGGGCUUCCUCUAUCUUGCUCUACCUGCCCUGGGUUCCACUUCACGUCUUUCCCGUGUCUAAAGCCAUCAAUCAUAUCCUGAGAAAGGUCCCCAUGUCCCAGUUGCUCAAAUACCUGUAUCCUUGAUGUGGUAUCUGGAGUUAUUUUGAAUCAGUUGACUAGCAAAGCUGUCCCAGACAGCUUCAGAAGAAGACAGCCCCAGGCGUGGGUGACUUAGAAGCUCCUCCAGAGGCCUAUUUGUGUGGCUGGAGGCUGGAGGCCUUCGAGUACACGGUAGUAACCCCAGAGAAGCACCGAGGGCAGCAGCCAACAGUCCAGGAUGGUUUUGCAACAGUGGAGGAGGAGGAAGGCUCUUUCAUCAAAUAAUAACCAGCCAGAGAUAAGGUCUGCUAGGCUGAGCUUGAUCAGCCAAUCGAAAGCUUCAGAGCAUGAGAAGAGGCAGACUCGGGCUUCCGGAGCCAGUUUUAGGGCUCGUUAUAAUUUAAUGAUGCUGCACUGGGGAGGCAGCAAGCUGAGGCAGAAAUGGUGUGUCGUCCUGCCCUCAUGACACAUGGCACAUCACGGGAGACGUGAGUUUAUUAAAAGGGUCCUUGGUGGAAGGGAGCCAAAGUCUGGGCCAGUGACAGUGCUUGUUGUGAAGGCGUGCUUGUCUAAAGAGAACAAAGCAAGGGAUCCCACAGUAGUAAUGGGAAGCCCAGUGGAAGAUCAGAGGGUAGAGCGGCGCCACAUACUGUCCAGGGGACUGCAUACAAGAAGUGAACACUGAGACAAACUAAAAGUCAAAUUUGUGUCAUGUAUGUGUGCAUGCAUGAGUGUGCAUGUGUGUUUAUGGGUGUGUAUGUGUGUAUGGGUAUGUGUGUGUACUGGUG